Non-coding RNA from Pseudonaja textilis, 92 nucleotides. The record is from RefSeq and is a predicted model, not a curated record. NCBI's taxonomy places the organism in Eukaryota, Metazoa, Chordata, Lepidosauria, Squamata, Elapidae.
CAAGGAAUUUGUCUUGGUGUAAAUGCUCUCAGUAUACAUAAAAGAAAAGAUGCAUUCGUUACGAGUCGAGAAUCAUCAGGUACCACACUUAA